RNAcentral lists this ribosomal RNA (497 nucleotides) under uncultured bacterium. RNAcentral's name for it is "partial 16S ribosomal RNA". It matches the Rfam family "Bacterial small subunit ribosomal RNA", at positions 28 to 507 of the family's 1533-position model. The record is from RNAcentral.
GAUGAACGCUGGCGGCGUGCCUAAUACAUGCAAGUAGAACGCUGAAGGAAGGAGCUUGCUCUUUCCGGAUGAGUUGCGAACGGGUGAGUAACGCGUAGGUAACCUGCCUGGUAGCGGGGGAUAACUAUUGGAAACGAUAGCUAAUACCGCAUAACAGUAGAUGUUGCAUGAUAUCUACUUAAAAGGUGCAAUUGCCCCACUACCAGAUGGACCUGCGUUGUAUUAUCUAGUUGGUGAGGUAACGGCUCACCAAGGCGACGAUACAUAGCCGACCUGAGAGGGUGAUCGGCCACACUGGGACUGAGACACGGCCCAGACUCCUACGGGAGGCAGCAGUAGGGAAUCUUCGGCAAUGGACGGAAGUCUGACCGAGCAACGCCGCGUGAGUGAAGAAGGGUUUCGGAUCGUAAAGCUCUGUUGUAAGAGAAGAACGAGUGUGAGAGUGGAAAGUUCACACUGUGACGGUAUCUUACCAGAAAGGGACGGCUAACUACGUG